GCCUCGGACGAGCUCAUCUAGUUUUUCAUUCCGAGCUGCAGUUUUCCUGCCCUUGUCGACCGAAGAGACCAGGAGCUCGUACACUACUUCACGACAGACCUUUACGGCACCACUCCGCGCCUCUGUUUGUAAACACUUGCCGUCGUCUGCGCAGCCGAAGAGCUGUGAAACACAGAUCCUAAUGAUUCUUUUCCGCUCUACUGCAAGGAGACUGGUUUCUCACGUGUGUGGCGGAACACAAGACUCUCUAGCGAGACAGAGGUGCUUCACAGACAUGGCCCGCCCUAGUUCAGAUAUGGCUGAAUUCCGACAGGUGUUUUCCAAAGCCAAGCACAUAGCAAUUAUUACGGGUGCAGGGGUCAGUGCAGAAAGUGGGGUCCCUACUUUCAGGGGCGCUGGAGGAUACUGGAGGCGGUGGCAGGCGCAGGUAGGACACAGCAGUGCCUGGUCACA
Non-coding RNA from Lepisosteus oculatus (spotted gar), 453 nucleotides. NCBI's taxonomy places the organism in Eukaryota, Metazoa, Chordata, Actinopteri, Semionotiformes, Lepisosteidae. The record is from RefSeq and is a predicted model, not a curated record.